CGGGAGGAACACCAGUGGCGAAGGCGGCCUACUGGGCACUAACUGACGCUGAGGCUCGAAAGCAUGGGUAGCAAACAGGAUUAGAUACCCUGGUAGUCCAUGCCGUAAACGAUGAUUACUAGGUGUGGGGAGAUUGACCCUCUCCGUGCCGCAGUUAACACAAUAAGUAUCCCACCUGGGGAGUACGAUCGCAAGGUUGAAACUCAAAGGAAUUGACGGGGGCCCGCACAAGCGGUGGAGUAUGUGGUUUAAUUCGAAGCAACGCGAAGAACCUUACCAGGGCUUGACAUCCUACUAACGAAGCAGAGAUGCAUUAGGUGCCCUUCGGGGAAAGUAGAGACAGGUGGUGCAUGGUUGUCGUCAGCUCGUGUCGUGAGAUGUUGGGUUAAGUCCCGCAACGAGCGCAACCCUUAUUGUUAGUUGCUACGCAAGAGCACUCUAGCGAGACUGCCGUUGACAAAACGGAGGAAGGUGGGGACGACGUCAAAUCAUCAUGCCCCUUAUGUCCUGGGCCACACACGUACUACAAUGGUGGUUAACAGAGGGAAGCAAAACCGCGAGGUGGAGCAAAUCCCUAAAAGCCAUCCCAGUUCGGAUUGCAGGCUGAAACCCGCCUGUAUGAAGUUGGAAUCGCUAGUAAUCGCGGAUCAGCAUGCCGCGGUGAAUACGUUCCCGGGUCUUGUACACACCGCCCGUCACACCAUGGGAGUCAGUAACGCCCGAAGUCAGUGACCCAACCGCAAGGAGGGAGCUGCCGAAGGCGGGACCGAUAACUGGGGUGAAGUCGUAACAAGGUAACCA
This 801-nucleotide ribosomal RNA is filed under the name uncultured bacterium. Its description in RNAcentral is "bacterial SSU rRNA". It matches the Rfam family "Bacterial small subunit ribosomal RNA", at positions 698 to 1502 of the family's 1533-position model. The record is from RNAcentral.